Molecule: ribosomal RNA, 506 nt
Filed under: uncultured bacterium
Lineage: Bacteria
Description: partial 16S ribosomal RNA
Rfam family: Bacterial small subunit ribosomal RNA
Source: RNAcentral
AGUGAACGCUGGCGGUAGGCCUAACACAUGCAAGUCGAACGGCAGCACAGGAGAGCUUGCUCUCUGGGUGGCGAGUGGCGGACGGGUGAGGAAUACAUCGGAAUCUACUAUUUCGUGGGGGAUAACGUAGGGAAACUUACGCUAAUACCGCAUACGACCUACGGGUGAAAGCAGGGGACCCUCGGGCCUUGCGCGAUUGAAUGAGCCGAUGUCGGAUUAGCUAGUUGGCGGGGUAAAGGCCCACCAAGGCGACGAUCCGUAGCUGGUCUGAGAGGAUGAUCAGCAACACUGGAACGGAGACACGGUCCAGACUCCUACGGGAGGCAGCAGAGGGGAAUAUUGGACAAUGGGCGCAAGCCUGAUCCAGCCAUACCGCGUGGGUGAAGAAGGCCUUCGGGUUGUAAAGCCCUUUUGUUGAGAAAGAAAUCCAGCUGGCUAAUACCCGGUUGGGAUGACGGUACCCAAAGAAUAAGCACCGGCUAACUUCGUGCCAGCAGCCGCAGUAA